GGAAUCUUCCACAAUGGACGAAAGUCUGAUGGAGCAACGCCGCGUGAGUGAAGAAGGUUUUCGGAUCGUAAAACUCUGUUGUUGGAGAAGAACACGUUUGAGAGUAACUGUUCAGACGUUGACGGUAUCCAACCAGAAAGCCACGGCUAACUACGUGCCAGCAGCCGCGGUAAUACGUAGGUCCCGAGCGUUGUCCGGAUUUAUUGGGCGUAAAGCGAGCGCAGGCGGUUUAAUAAGUCUGAAGUUAAAGGCAGUGGCUUAACCAUUGUUCGCUUUGGAAACUGUGAGACUUGAGUGCAGAAGGGGAGAGUGGAAUUCCAUGUGUAGCGGUGAAAUGCGUAGAUAUAUAGAGGAACACCGGUGGCGAAAGCGGCUGUCUGGUCUGUAACUGACGCUGAGGCUCGAAAGCAUGGGUAGCGAACA
This 423-nucleotide ribosomal RNA is filed under the name uncultured bacterium. RNAcentral's name for it is "bacterial SSU rRNA". It matches the Rfam family "Bacterial small subunit ribosomal RNA", at positions 358 to 774 of the family's 1533-position model. The record is from RNAcentral.